This 69-nucleotide transfer RNA is filed under the name Ophiophagus hannah (king cobra). It matches the Rfam family "tRNA". Rfam says of the family: Transfer RNA (tRNA) molecules are approximately 80 nucleotides in length. Their secondary structure includes four short double-helical elements and three loops (D, anti-codon, and T loops). Further hydrogen bonds mediate the characteristic L-shaped molecular structure. tRNAs have two regions of fundamental functional importance: the anti-codon, which is responsible for specific mRNA codon recognition, and the 3' end, to which the tRNAs corresponding amino acid is attached (by aminoacyl-tRNA synthetases). tRNAs cope with the degeneracy of the genetic code in two manners: having more than one tRNA (with a specific anti-codon) for a particular amino acid; and 'wobble' base-pairing, i.e. permitting non-standard base-pairing at the 3rd anti-codon position. Lineage: Eukaryota; Metazoa; Chordata; Lepidosauria; Squamata; Elapidae. The record is from Rfam by way of RNAcentral.
GACACUUUGGCCUAGUGGUUAAGGCACCAGGCUAGAAAGCAGAAGACUGUGAGUUCUAAUCUCAUGUUA